RNAcentral lists this ribosomal RNA (257 nucleotides) under uncultured bacterium. RNAcentral describes it as "partial 16S ribosomal RNA". It matches the Rfam family "Bacterial small subunit ribosomal RNA", at positions 524 to 776 of the family's 1533-position model. The record is from RNAcentral.
UACAGAGACCUCAAGCGUUAUCCGGAAUCAUUGGGCGUAAAGCGUACCGAUCGGUGGUUUACAAAGUCAGAGGUGAAAUCUCAAGGCUCAACCUUGAGUCUGUCCUUUGAUACUUGUAAACUAGAAGGGCAAAGAGGAAGCCGGAACAAACGGUGUAGUAGUGAAAUGCGUUGAUAUCGUUUGGAACACCAAUAGCGAAGGCAGGCUUCUGGGUGCCUCUUGACACUGCUAGGACGAAAGCGUGGGGAGCGAAUGGG